GACUCAACACGGGGAAACUCACCAGGUCCAGACACAUUAAGGAUUGACAGAUUGAGAGCUCUUUCUUGAUCAUGUGGGUGGUGGUGCAUGGCCGUUCUUAGUUGGUGGAGUGAUUUGUCUGCUUAAUUGCGAUAACGAACGAGACCUUAACCUGCUAAAUAGCCAGGCCCGCUUUUGCGGGUCGCCGGCUUCUUAGAGGGACUAUCGGAUUUCAAGUCGAUGGAAGUUUGAGGCAAUAACAGGUCUGUGAUGCCCUUAGACGUUCUGGGCCGCACGCGCGCUACACUGACGGAGCCAGCGAGUUUUAUUGUUCCUUUGCCGAGAGGUAUGGGUAAUCUUGUGAAACUCCGUCGUGCUGGGGAUCGAAUGUUGCAAUUUUCAUUCGUCAACGAGGAAUUCCUAGUAAGCGCAAGUCAUCAGCNUGCGUUGAUUACGUCCCUGCCCUUUGUACACACCGCCCGUCGCUACUACCGAUUGAAUGGCUUAGUGAGGCUUCCGGAUUGGCUUAGACAGGGGGGCGACUCCCAGUUGGAGCCGAGAAGCUAGUCAAACUUGGUCAUUUAGAGGAAGUAAAAGUCGUAACAAGGUUU
This 590-nucleotide ribosomal RNA is filed under the name uncultured fungus. RNAcentral's name for it is "SSU rRNA". It matches the Rfam family "Eukaryotic small subunit ribosomal RNA", at positions 1197 to 1802 of the family's 1831-position model. The record is from RNAcentral. Lineage: Eukaryota; Fungi.